Molecule: non-coding RNA, 74 nt
Organism: Myotis lucifugus (little brown bat)
Lineage: Eukaryota; Metazoa; Chordata; Mammalia; Chiroptera; Vespertilionidae
Source: Rfam
UGUGGAGGGGGGGGGAUCCUCAGCCCGGAUGGCGAGAGGGGGCAGGCCAGGCCAAGGGACCCCACCAGUGCAUG